RNAcentral lists this non-coding RNA (181 nucleotides) under Pseudocercospora musae. RNAcentral's name for it is "Mycosphaerella musicola Bacterial large subunit ribosomal RNA". It matches the Rfam family "Bacterial large subunit ribosomal RNA", at positions 1032 to 1205 of the family's 2925-position model. RNAcentral also lists the same sequence under 1 other name. Lineage: Eukaryota; Fungi; Ascomycota; Dothideomycetes; Mycosphaerellales; Mycosphaerellaceae. The record is from Rfam by way of RNAcentral.
CAAGAGUUAAAGGUUCCAAAAUUAUUGUUAAGUGAAAUUAAGGUAGUUUUUUUCAAAUACAACGAGUAAAUAGGCUUAGAAGCGGCCAUUUUUUAAAGAUCUCGUAACAGAGCACUGGUUUAUUAUAAAAGUUAAACGCACCGAAAAUAUAACGGAUCUGAAACAGUAUACCGAAACCUUG